AGUGAACGCUGGCGGUAGGCCUAACACAUGCAAGUCGAACGGCAGCACAGUAAGAGCUUGCUCUUACGGGUGGCGAGUGGCGGACGGGUGAGGAAUACAUCGGAAUCUACUUUUUCGUGGGGGAUAACGUAGGGAAACUUACGCUAAUACCGCAUACGACCUACGGGUGAAAGCAGGGGAUCUUCGGACCUUGCGCGAUUGAAUGAGCCGAUGUCGGAUUAGCUAGUUGGCGGGGUAAAGGCCCACCAAGGCGACGAUCCGUAGCUGGUCUGAGAGGAUGAUCAGCCACACUGGAACUGAGACACGGUCCAGACGCCUACGGGAGGCAGCAGUGGGGAAUAUUGGACAAUGGGCGCAAGCCUGAUCCAGCCAUACCGCGUGGGUGAAGAAGGCCUUCGGGUUGUAAAGCCCUUUUGUUGGGAAAGAAAAGCAGCAGGUUAAGACCCCGCUGUUCUGACGGUACCCAAAGAAUAAGCACCGGCUAACUUCGU
This 491-nucleotide ribosomal RNA is filed under the name uncultured bacterium. RNAcentral's name for it is "partial 16S ribosomal RNA". It matches the Rfam family "Bacterial small subunit ribosomal RNA", at positions 29 to 506 of the family's 1533-position model. The record is from RNAcentral.